RNAcentral lists this transfer RNA (77 nucleotides) under Bacillota bacterium. RNAcentral describes it as "tRNA-Arg". It matches the Rfam family "tRNA". Rfam says of the family: Transfer RNA (tRNA) molecules are approximately 80 nucleotides in length. Their secondary structure includes four short double-helical elements and three loops (D, anti-codon, and T loops). Lineage: Bacteria; Bacillati; Bacillota. The record is from RNAcentral.
GUCCUCGUAGCUCAGCAGGAUAGAGCAACGGCCUUCUAAGCCGUCGGUUGGGGGUUCGACUCCCUCCCAGGACGCCA